UCAAAUUAAAUAAUAACAUAAUAAAAAUAAUUCAAAUGUAUAUACUUGAAAUAAACUUCAACAAAAAAAAUAUAAUUUGCGUAGUACUAUACCCAUACUAAUAAAGCACUACUAUUUCAAGAAGUUCACAAGCAAUGAACUUUACAAAACCGAAUGUAUUUCAUCAAAUAAUAAUAAAUUGAAAAUUAAAUUUUGAACAUUAUUUAGGUCAAUAAAAAUUAUCUAGGCCAAAUUAAAUUUUGAACUUUGGGAAUCCUUGAGCAGUACCUUCUCCCCAACCAUGUAAGCAACAUCACAGACCUUCCUAUUGGCAUAACUCUUCUGUCUAGAGUGCACUAUGCGAAGCCGUUCCUGAAUCAUCUUAACCUUAUCCAAAGCAUCCCGGACCAAGUCAGUACCCAUUAGCCAACGCCUCUAAGUCAGAAUCCGGGCUAGAAACGACGCAUGCAUCCGUCGUCCGCUUGCCGACCGGCAGUAGGGGCCACAAUAUCAAUAACAAUAAACGUCACAAUUGUUCAAAAAGUAUGCAUCAUUCACGUCAAUAGGUCAAAUUGAUUUGUGGCCACAUUUUUAAUUGCAUCACUCGCAUUUUCCUGCACAUUCAAAAUGAAAUUAAAAAUUAGAAAAAAAAACCUAUAUAUAGUAUGCAUUGGUUAUAGCAACAUGUCUUACUAAUAACUAAUGAGGUUUAUUUCACUACUAAAACAUAACUAAGUCAAACACAAAAAAAGAGGUGCAAGCUAAGGAGAAGCAAAGUUGUGAAUUAAUAACUUGCUUACAUCCCAAAAUCACAGAAUGCUUUGCCUCGAUUUCGAUAUGAGCACAUGCAUAAUAAUAGUGAGAUUUGGAAAAGACAAGGAUUUCAACGUAUCCUACACUUGAAAGAGGUCAAAGAAUAUUCUAAUUCCCUUCAAAAGGUUUAGUACUUUGUGUAAGGGCAUAUUAUACCAAUUAUAUUCGUGAAAUAUAUUUUCCUUCCAUUCAUUCAUAACUCCUGUUAUUAUGUAAUGGAAUCAUCAAAAGCAAAUAGUUUAGAAAAACAUGGUCUUAUAAGUUUAGAGUGUGAAAUAUAAAUAUCUUUUCAAGACUCGGAGCAUGAGUUGAGCCAGAAGAAUGUGAUAGAUUUUGGCCACUCAUUCCUCGUACACUACUUGCAUCAACGGGUGAAGGAAGAUUAGAUCCGGCACACCCUUGUAUAUCAUGAAUAUUUAGUCCAGGGUUAUUUUGUACCAUUUGAACAAAAAAAUAUCGCAUUUCUUCUCUCAUUAUUUCCUUCAUUUCUUCCUUCAAAGAAGUUAUUUCAUUAGCAUGCUUUUGUUGAAGCUUGCUGAUUUCCUCAUCUUUUUUCAGAGAUCUUAUCGUCACCGAUCUACCAUAGCAUCUAACCGGACCAGGUUGCUCGUUUCCAAACACAAUCUUAAAUGCAUCAUCUGCUGUUUCUUGAAACUUUGACGAUUUUGAAGUUCAGACCGUUAAAAAGAAAUAUUACUGAAUAUCACUUAGUGGAUAUGCUAUAGAAAGUAAAAAAUAAUAACAUUUGAAUACAGAAAUGGAGCAGCUAUGCCGAAUAUUGUGUAGAAAUACAGUUGAAAAAUGCAAAAAUCCAGAAAGGCAGUGCAAAAAUAUAGAAGCACAUAGCAUACUGUGCUAGUGUGCUUAAUAGAACAAGUAAAGUUUCAACUGAACCUUUUGGAAUGUAAUACAUAUACUGAUUAGAGAAGUGGAAAUCAGUCUCCUUUGGUACCAGGUGACAGAUUUUCAGCUCCUCUGUGAUUUGAAAUUACCAUUACAUGACAGAAUUCUCAUAAUUUAUUGCUUAGUUAAUUCACUGCUUGUUACUUCUUUUCACAUCACUUAUUUUGCUAUUCUGGAAUCCGUAUGUAGCGAGUCCAUGCAUUAUAACUUCUGAUGGCUUUGUUGUAACCUAUGAAUGGUAAGAGACAUAACAACUUUAAGGAGUGUUUGAUUAUAGUAGUAUGACAUAUUUGUGGUAUAGAGGGAGUAAGUUUAUUUGGACUGACAAAAAGAAGAAACACGAACUAACCUAAUCCUUGAAAGAUUGAAUCGAUGUCUUGCCAAAAAUAGGAAAAUCUUGAUAAUACCAGUAGAUGACAGCUUAGUCAUGCUACGGAACUUAACUUCUUCCUCCUAGUAAAAUCUUUUUUCUUCUUCCACCUGAUAAAUAUAGAUAAUUUUCAGACAUGACCAACUUCAACUCAGUUCUGUACAAGUCCACACAUGUGAAUUGUGACCCCCACCUUCUAAAUGACCAUCCAAAAUAGCAGGAAUUCUCUUAACUUAAACACAAAUUUCACAUGUAGGUGUCAUAUGUGGAAGGGUAAAAAUUAGCUGAAGUAAUACUUACUUUGUCAAACACUAAUCACGUGGUAGAAAUUAUCUAAAAUAUGUUUUGACCAGAUCUGAUCAACUCUUUCUCGGCAACUUCACAGCCAACUUUCAGUAGCACAGAAAUAAAUCUCACAAUCUGCAAUUAAAAAGAAUAUCGAUAAGAACACAAAGAUAAAGGCUGACCUGAGAUUGUCAACUUAAUAAUUUAGCAAAGCUGCAAAGAUAAUUGGACAUAUAUGCUAAGAUUCUCUACUCAGCUUCUAUUUCACAUACUAAAAGCUGAUAAGAGAAGAUCAUAUUACGAAGUAUAUAACUUUGGAUAUCUUUUUGGCAUAACAUUAUUCAAAUAUAAAAUGAUCAAAUUGUAGAACAAUUGAAAGAUCAGCUCAUUGAAAUAGUAUAAUUUCUUAGUUUAAUUAUACGCCCUUAGUUGUAUAAAUAAGUAAAAAAAAAUGAUCUCAUGCUGCGUCUUCAAAAUCAAACUCAUCUUCUGAUAUCAAGGAAUAUUGAUUAAUACUCGAGCACAUAAAGGAGAAAAGCUCAUAGAAACAGAAAUACCUCUACGAAAUUUUAUAGUAUUAGAAAUUUAAUACGUCUAUCAAGUGAUUGCAAAUCAGAACAAACCAAAAGAAGAACUAAGGAAAUAGAAUUUUACACCCCAAGAAAACUCAAAUAUUAACUCUCAAACAAGAAUUCUGGUCAAGCGAUUUGCGUGUGACUAUCAUCUCUGACAAGGCUAUCCAAAAAUAGUUGACGAUUGAGUUUACUGGAGGUCGAACGGUGUUGUUGUUACAUAUUAUGUUACCUCAAAGUAUAGUGGAUAGCAGUUAAAGCUAGCUGCCUUAACUGAUUAGGGUAGGAAAACAAAACUUAGCAGAUGCCUCCCUUAAUCAUAAAAGAGUAAGAUAGCCCAUUUUGAGCUAAGAAGUUAUAAGAAUUGAGAACAAUACCAGUUUUGACUUAUGAGCUGUGAGAUUGUCAUAUUAGCUUAUAUAUAUGAUACUUUGAGUUUCACUACACUUACUUGAUAGCAUGCAUGUCUCUUUAAAAGUUAUUUUUGAGGGACCAGCCCCAAAAUAAAAUAUUAAUUCAAAGAAAGAAAAUAACAAGUUGCAAUGGCAACUUGUUUGCGAUAAGGGCGGCUAAAAUAAAGUUGCAAGUUGCAACAAGACCAAAACAGAAAUAAUUCUGGACGAUGCAAAUUGCAAAGAACAAAGCAUUUUUAUUGGUUGAAAGCUU
RNAcentral lists this long non-coding RNA (3588 nucleotides) under Nicotiana tabacum (common tobacco). RNAcentral's name for it is "long non-coding RNA (NTAB_LNC001606)". Lineage: Eukaryota; Viridiplantae; Streptophyta; Magnoliopsida; Solanales; Solanaceae. The record is from RNAcentral.